AGCAGCCGCGGUAAUUCCAGCUCCAAUAGCGUAUAUUAAAGUUGUUGCAGUUAAAAAGCUCGUAGUUGAAUUUCGGGAUUGGCGCAUCGGUCGUGCCUCACGGGGUAUGAACUGGUGCAGUCAAUUUCUCACCUUCUGGAGAACCGCGAUGUCCUUAAUUGGAUGCCGCGGGGAACCAGGACCUUUACUUUGAAAAAAUUAGAGUGUUUAAAGCAGGCAUUUUUGCUUGAAUACAUUAGCAUGGAAUAAUAAAAUAGGACGGCAUGGUUCUAUUUUGUUGGUUUCUAGGACCACCGUAAUGAUUAAUAGGGAUAGUUGGGGGCAUUAGUAUUCAAUUGUCAGAGGUGAAAUUCUUGGAUUUUAUUGAAGACUAACUACUGCGAAAGCAUUUGCCAAGGAUGUUUUCAUUAAUCAAGAACGAAAGUUAGGGGAUCGAAGACGAUCAGAUACCGUCGUAGUCUUAACCAUAAACUAUGCCGACUAGGAAUCAGACGAUGUUAAUUUUUAA
Molecule: unclassified non-coding RNA, 508 nt
Filed under: uncultured Glomus
Lineage: Eukaryota; Fungi; Glomeromycota; Glomeromycetes; Glomerales; Glomeraceae
Description: SSU rRNA
Rfam family: Eukaryotic small subunit ribosomal RNA
Source: RNAcentral